RNAcentral lists this small RNA (28 nucleotides) under Bombyx mori (domestic silkworm). RNAcentral describes it as "ovarian small RNA-4455". Lineage: Eukaryota; Metazoa; Arthropoda; Insecta; Lepidoptera; Bombycidae. The record is from RNAcentral.
ACUACGCCUUGAAAAAGGCAGCCGGCGC